Molecule: non-coding RNA, 46 nt
Organism: Bacteroides fluxus YIT 12057
Lineage: Bacteria; Pseudomonadati; Bacteroidota; Bacteroidia; Bacteroidales; Bacteroidaceae
Source: Rfam
AAAAAGGCGCUUUUAAGCGCCUUUUUUUUAUAAAUCACAAAAUCUU